GAUAUCUGCUAGACACAGACUGAACACACUUGAGAGGAAGAGGAAGAGUACUCUGGUGAGAGUACAGGUCUGAACACACUUGAGAGGAAGAGGAAGAGUACUCUGGUGAGAGUACAGGUCCUCGGAGGAAAAGACCUGGUCAAACAAGCUCUUUGUGACAAGAUCACAAAGGAGGAUAGACAAGGUCAAAGAUUAAAUUCAGACAUUGACCAAGACAAUUUUUAUGUUUGUUCCUCACUUUCUUUUUUUAUUGUUCACAAGAUGUCUACACAUUGCCUGAUGAUUACACUCUGUCUAGAAUGGGCAACGCCAAAAGAUGCUGGUGGAACAACAAAAAAAAAAAAAUCUGUUUGCCAGGAUCCCGUCAAUUUUAUAACACAGCUUAGCCUGCUGGCAGCCCAUAUUAAAAACUUCAGCCAACUUUAAAAGGGUCAAAUGUGACACCGGAUCUCCGGGGACAACGCUUGCUUUCCUCCAGCUCUUGUCCCACAGGCAGCUGCUGUCUCUGCACUCGUCUUUGUUAUGGCACAGACAGCAAAGCUAGGUUUGCUUUCUAAAGACACGUCCAUGAAAAUAAAUCAUUUCUCCAUUUUUUUUCUUUUUUUUUUAAAAACCUAGAAGUCUUUUUGUUUUUUAAUAAUGCAUUAUCAUUUGCAACCAGGCACAUCUUUGUUUUUUUCUUUGUUUGCUUUUUAUGUUGUGUGUGUGUGUGUAUUUUUAACGGUGGAUCUUGUAGGAAUCCAACUGACGCUGAAUCAAAUCCAACUUGAGUCAGUGUGCUCUCCACACCAGACUUUUACCACAACCCUCAAAAUAGAGGAGUUCCCUCCCAUCACACAUCAUCUUGCGGUCAAGGUGGCAACGGUGGGUGUCUGUGUGUGGUGGGGGUGGCGAAGGGAAGGGGGGGGGGGGGCUCUUCCGUUCUUCAGAACCAAGGCAAAUGCGCAUUUCCGUAAACCCUGUCACUCCAAAGCUGUGAUGCGUCCUAUUGGCUUUCCACAGUGCCAAAGUGCCAAGUCCCCACCAGUCCUUCAUGAAGGAGUUCCCUUUAAGUUUCUCUUCUGCAGUCAACAUCUGAAUGUUUGCAAACAAAAGAUCUGACCUAAUGAAAAGGAGACAACGUUUCUUUGUCAUUUACCACACAAGUCUACCGUCUUACUGUUUUUACAUUUUUCCGUAAAGACCAUUUGCAUCAAAGAGUAAUAUAACCAAAAAACAACACAAUGCAACAAUAAACCAUUGAAGUGCCGAGAGUGACUGGAAGUGGC
Clupea harengus (Atlantic herring) is the source of this 1268-nucleotide long non-coding RNA. The record is from Ensembl. Lineage: Eukaryota; Metazoa; Chordata; Actinopteri; Clupeiformes; Clupeidae.